GCAAUUUAUGAGAAGAAUGUUGAAGAAAAAAUGCGUCAAUAUAUAAUCGAAAGGAUGGGGAUAAACACUCGAUACAGUGACCUAGAUAUGGGAGGUCUAGAAAGGCGGAGUUUUAGACAAGAAAAGCAAUCUGAAACGGAGCAUGAAGUUGAGGGAAUGAACCUUAAAGAAUUUAUGACGAGUGGAAAUGGUAAAGAGGCAG
Molecule: unclassified non-coding RNA, 202 nt
Filed under: Hevea brasiliensis (rubber tree)
Lineage: Eukaryota; Viridiplantae; Streptophyta; Magnoliopsida; Malpighiales; Euphorbiaceae
Source: RNAcentral